GAUGAACGCUGGCGGCGUGCUUAACACAUGCAAGUCGAACGGGAAUUACUUUAUUGAAGCUUCGGUCGAUUUAAUUUAAUUCUAGUGGCGGACGGGUGAGUAACGCGUGGGUAACCUGCCUUAUACAGGGGGAUAACAGUCAGAAAUGGCUGCUAAUACCGCAUAAGCGCACAGUACCGCAUGGUACCGCGUGAAAAACUCCGGUGGUAUGAGAUGGACCCGCGUCUGAUUAGCUAGUUGGUGGGGUAACGGCCUACCAAGGCAACGAUCAGUAGCCGACCUGAGAGGGUGACCGGCCACAUUGGGACUGAGACACGGCCCAA
RNAcentral lists this ribosomal RNA (323 nucleotides) under uncultured bacterium. RNAcentral's name for it is "bacterial SSU rRNA". It matches the Rfam family "Bacterial small subunit ribosomal RNA", at positions 28 to 334 of the family's 1533-position model. The record is from RNAcentral.